UACGCCCUACGGGGGGCAGCAGUGAGGAAUAUUGGUCAAUGGGCGGAAGCCUGAACCAGCCAAGUCGCGUGAGGGAAUAAGGCCCUACGGGUCGUAAACCUCUUUUGCCGGGGAGCAAGGGCCGGGACGCGUCCCGGCCCGGAGAGUACCCGGAGAAAAAGCAUCGGCUAACUCCGUGCCAGCAGCCGCGGUAAUACGGAGGAUGCGAGCGUUAUCCGGAUUUAUUGGGUUUAAAGGGUGCGUAGGCGGGCUUUUAAUUCAGCGGUAAAACUUCGGGGCUC
RNAcentral lists this ribosomal RNA (281 nucleotides) under uncultured bacterium. Its description in RNAcentral is "partial 16S ribosomal RNA". It matches the Rfam family "Bacterial small subunit ribosomal RNA", at positions 334 to 610 of the family's 1533-position model. The record is from RNAcentral.